UACGGGAGGCAGCAGUGGGGAAUAUUGCACAAUGGGCGCAAGCCUGAUGCAGCCAUGCCGCGUGUAUGAAGAAGGCCUUCGGGUUGUAAAGUACUUUCAGUCGUGAGGAAGGUGUUAAGGUUAAUAACCUUAGCAAUUGACGUUAGCGACAGAAGAAGCACCGGCUAACUCCGUGCCAGCAGCCGCGGUAAUACGGAGGGUGCGAGCGUUAAUCGGAAUUACUGGGCGUAAAGGGCACGCAGGCGGUUAAUUAAGUUGGAUGUGAAAUCCCCGGGCUUAACCUGGGAAUGGCAUUCAAGACUGGUUAGCUAGAGUCUUGUAGAGGGGGUAGAAUUCCGAUGUGUAGCGGUGAAAUGCGUAGAGAUGUGGAGGAAUACCGGUGGCGAAGGCGGCCCCUGGACAAGACUGACGCUCAUGUGCGAAAGCGUGGGGAGCAAACAGGGAUUAGGAU
This 451-nucleotide ribosomal RNA is filed under the name uncultured bacterium. Its description in RNAcentral is "bacterial SSU rRNA". It matches the Rfam family "Bacterial small subunit ribosomal RNA", at positions 340 to 784 of the family's 1533-position model. The record is from RNAcentral.